This 490-nucleotide ribosomal RNA is filed under the name uncultured fungus. RNAcentral's name for it is "eukaryotic LSU rRNA". The stretch from base 152 to 305 matches the Rfam family "5.8S ribosomal RNA". The record is from RNAcentral. Lineage: Eukaryota; Fungi.
UCCGUAGGUGAACCUGCGGAAGGAUCAUUACAGUGUUAGGCUUCGGCCUCAUUCCACACCCCUUGUUUAACCUCUGGUUUCUUUGGCGAUGUCAAUCGUCAAACUUUAACUCUGAUAAUGUGGUACUGUCCGAGUCCAAUUGAAUUAUCAAAACUUUCAACAACGGAUCUCUUGGUUCCAGCAUCGAUGAAGAACGCAGCGAAAUGCGAUAAAUAAUGUGAAUUGCAGAAUUCCGUGAAUCAUCGAGUCUUUGAACGCACAUUGCACUCCUUGGUAUUCCGAGGAGUACGCCUGUUCGAGCGUCAUUAAACUAUCAAGCUUGGCUUGGAUUUGAAUCACUGUCGAGGCAGGAUUUCAAUAUUGUCGGCAAUUGACCAUCUGUGAUGACUCACUUGGAGUUGAUUCGCCUCAAAUCGAUCAAUCAGUUGACCUCGGAUCAGGCGGGGAUACCCGCUGAACUUAAGCAUAUCAAUAAGCGGAGGAAGUCGAU